Molecule: ribosomal RNA, 478 nt
Filed under: uncultured bacterium
Lineage: Bacteria
Description: partial 16S ribosomal RNA
Rfam family: Bacterial small subunit ribosomal RNA
Source: RNAcentral
GACGAACGCUGGCGGCGUGCUUAACACAUGCAAGUCGAACGGUAAGGCCCUUCGGGGUACACGAGUGGCGAACGGGUGAGUAACACGUGGGUGAUCUGCCCUGCGCUUCGGGAUAAGCCUGGGAAACUGGGUCUAAUACCGGAUAGGACCACUGCCUGCAUGGGUGGUGGUGGAAAGCUUUUGCGGUGUGGGAUGGGCCCGCGGCCUUUCGGCUUGUUGGUGGGGGGAUGGCCUACCAAGGCGACGACGGGUAGCCGGCCUGAGAGGGUGACCGGCCACACUGGGGCUGAGAUACGGCCCAGACUCCUACGGGAGGCAGCAGUGGGGAAUAUUGCACAAUGGGCGCAAGCCUGAUGCAGCGACGCCGCGUGAGGGAUGACGGCCUUCGGGUUGUAAACCUCUUUCAGCACCGACGAAGCGCAAGUGACGGUAGGUGCAGAAGAAGGACCGGCCAACUACGUGCCAGCCGCCGCGGUAA